GAUGAACGCUGGCGGCGUGCCUAAUACAUGCAAGUCGAGCGAACGGACGAGAAGCUUGCUUCUCUGAUGUUAGCGGCGGACGGGUGAGUAACACGUGGAUAACCUACCUAUAAGACUGGGAUAACUUCGGGAAACCGGAGCUAAUACCGGAUGAUAUUUUGAACCGCAUGGUUCAAAAGUGAAAGACGGUCUUGCUGUCACUUAUAGAUGGAUCCGCGCUGCAUUAGCUAGUUGGUAAGGUAACGGCUUACCAAGGCAACGAUGCAUAGCCGACCUGAGAGGGUGAUCGGCCACACUAGAACUGAGGCACGGUCCAGACUCCUACGGGAGGCAGCAGUAGGGAAUCUUCCGCAAUGGGCGAAAGCCUGACGGAGCAACGCCGCGUGAGUGAUGAAGGUCUUCGGAUCGUAAAACUCUGUUAUUAGGGAAGAACAUAUGUGUAAGUAACUGUGCACAUCUUGACGGUACCUAAUCAGAAAGCCACGGCUAACUACGUG
RNAcentral lists this ribosomal RNA (497 nucleotides) under uncultured bacterium. Its description in RNAcentral is "partial 16S ribosomal RNA". It matches the Rfam family "Bacterial small subunit ribosomal RNA", at positions 28 to 507 of the family's 1533-position model. The record is from RNAcentral.